This 446-nucleotide ribosomal RNA is filed under the name uncultured bacterium. RNAcentral describes it as "partial 16S ribosomal RNA". It matches the Rfam family "Bacterial small subunit ribosomal RNA", at positions 338 to 795 of the family's 1533-position model. The record is from RNAcentral.
CCUACGGGAGGCAGCAGUAGGGAAUUUUCGGCAAUGGGGGGAACCCUGACCGAGCAACGCCGCGUGAACGAAGACGUUCUUCGUAGUGUAAAGUUCUUUUAACAGGGAAGCAAGAGCAAUUUGACGGUACCUGAAGAAUAAGCUCCGGCUAACUACGUGCCAGCAGCCGCGGUAAUACGUAGGGAGCGAGCGUUAUUCGGAAUUAUUGGGCGUAAAGGGUGCGUAGAUGGCAUAGUAAGUCUUUUGUAAAAAUGCGGGGCUCAACCCAGUAGGGCACAAGAUACUGCAAAGCUAGAGUAUGACAGAGGCAAGUGGAACUACAUGUGUAGCGGUAAAAUGCGUAAAUAUAAGUAAGAACACCAGUGGCGAAGGCGGCUUGCUGGUUCGAUACUGACAUUGAGGCACGAAAGCGUGGGGAUCGAACAGGAUUAGAUACCCCUGUAGUC